Non-coding RNA from Zootermopsis nevadensis, 1724 nucleotides. Lineage: Eukaryota; Metazoa; Arthropoda; Insecta; Blattodea; Termopsidae. The record is from RefSeq and is a predicted model, not a curated record.
AAAGCUAUUGCGCAACUGCUUGUAAUAAAUAAUCUUUGGUUUUCUCAGUUGACGAGAGGAAGUUUCCAAGAACAUACGUGCGUUUGAAAAGUGUAAAAUGUUUUUGAAAGCUAGCCAAAACUACAUAAACAUGACUUUUGAAGAAAGAUUUCGUAACACUGGCAAUAAGGAGAAUUUCCCAGCAGAGUGUGUGCAAUUUGGCAGGAGACGAACCCCUUAUGUAGGAUCAGGAAUGUUUAAUGAUGGAAACACUUGUUACAUCAAUUCAACACUGCAGAUGGAUCUGCAGCCACCUAUGUGGUAAACAGAUUCAAAUACUUUGAUAAUUACUGGAAUAAAAUGUCAAUAAAUAUUUGAGCCACUGAUUUUGCAAUAAUGUACUUUGCUCGUGCUCACAGAUGACAGCUUUGAUAUAAAAAUGUACAUUUCAUCUGGGAUUGGUGUUACAUUUUCUCAGUGAUCUACUAGAAAAUGCAGCCCUGUUCCAUGUACCAGCAUUUGUUAACUGGCUACAGAGUGAGAGCAGUCACCUAAAUAAGUGCAUCAGUUUGGUGAAUAAAAGAGACUGCACCAUUUGUGCAAUGGACAGCACUUAUGUGGCAUUACAAAACAAAUUAGGCACUGUAAUUAGGCCAUAUCACAUUUAUAGGAGACUGAGUUAUAUCUGCAAGCACCUUGUCGCUGGCGGGUAAGAGGAUGCUCAUGAAUUUAUGACAUAUCUUUUACUUAGCAUGGAGGAAGCAUAUUUCGCAGGCUACAAUGACAGAGAGUUUGACACUUACGGCACAGAAACAACCCCAAUAAAUCAAAUAUUUGGAGGUUAUAUUAGAACAGAAGUGACAUGUUUAGAAUGUGGGACAGUGUCUACAACAUUCCAGCAGUGCCAAGACUUUUCUCUGGAUAUCAAACAUGUAUCCACAUUGGACGAUGCUUUAGAAGAUUAUUUCUCCCCUGAACGUCUGGAUGAGGGUGGUGAUUAUUCCUGUAGACGAUGCAACAAGAAAGUUGUGGCUACAAAGAAAUUUUCUUUGGAGAAAGAUCCACAAGUUUUAUGUAUACAAUUGAAAAGGUAUGUUGUUUUACUUUUAGACAUCAUACACUUCUGUAUAAUUCAUAGUUUGAAGGACAGACUGGAAGGUAUCAAAGAAUGAGACUUGUUUUCUUCCUCCCUACAAAAGUCAAUCUCAGCGCAAAACACAUCAAAUUCUCUAGACUGAUAUAACAAGAAAUCUCUGGCAAGUUUUGUUCAUAUAUUUAGUACCCAUCUUAAGGCUAGUAGUGCCAAAGAGAUUAAAUAUUUCCAUCUAGUGAAACACUUUCUCUUGUGUACAGAAGCAUCACAUUUUUCAUAAUGGAGAUAUGAAUUUUGUGUCUUAAAAAUGUUAUCUUUAUUCCUUUUCUACUUAUUUAUCAAUAUUAAUUAGAGUCAUCUACCAAGAGAAAAAUAACUACAACAUUAUUCUACAUUCCUCCUGGCUUUUGCAGGAACUGCUUUAAAAAGUGUUUAGUAUCUUAUGAAUGUAUCAUUUUCAAAUGAAUGUAAUGGAUAUUCAUUAAAAUGCAGUUUAUGGACAUUUGUUGCAAAUCACUCAAUAUUCUUUGGAUUCACCAAGAGUAAUAUACUCAUUUGAAUUUCUGCAGCAGCUUCACACUUUUAUGUAUACUUUUCUUUAUGUUUUUGUUUUGAAUAAAAUAGUGAUUCGAUCUUCUUUGUAAUAUUUCUG